CAAAUAGGCAGUUUAUUAUUAUAUGGCGCGUUACAAAUACUAUUUAUUUUUAUAUCUAAGUAAAUUGAUUAUAUUAUGAACAUAUUGAUGGUGUCUGCGAAGUAAAUAUUAUAAUACGUUGUAUAUUUAUAUUUACAAUUUUAUUGUAUGAGGCCUAAAAAUUAGGAUCUCUUUUAAAACAAUGAAUAGUAAAAUAUUAACUACAAUUGCUAAUGCUAUGGACACCAAAGAGGAGCUAAAGAAACGGAUAGAAACAUCUAAACUCGUAUCACAAGAGUUACAGACUUGCAUUCAAAAUUGCCAAAAUCGAUUUGGAGGUAAAGCUGAACUUGCUACAGAAGAUGAUAUAAGAAUAGUACAACUUUGUGAAAAAUGGGAAAAAGUCCUCAGUCAUGGUAUAAGAACCAACUUAUCUAACUCAGCUUUACAGAGCUUAGUGACUGCUGGAUUAAAUUUUACAUUUAACAUUGUCAAUAUUGGAAACUCUUUGUGGAGUUACACAUGUCUACACCUUACUAAACAUGAGAAAGAAAGAUUUAAAAUUCUGUCAAAUAUCAACACUCCACUUGGAUACUUCAGGGCCUUCAUUAGAGCUGCUUUAAAUGAAAGGUCACUUGAAAGAUACCUCCAAAGCUGGGUUGCACACGGUCUUCUGAUGGAAUAUUAUGAAGAAGGUGCUUUAGUGAGGAACAAUGAAUUAGCAUAUCAGUUACCUAAUAUGGCUUCAGGAUUAUCAACCAUUUUAUUUGCAUUGUCAAUUGAUAGAGUGGAAUUAAAUGAAACUCAGCAAGCAAACCAAUCUAAUAAAGCAGAAUUAGUUAUAUCCUUGCCUGCUCCCGUAAAACCCUCCAAUCAAAAGCGAAAGCCGCUGCGACAAGUAAUAUCAUUCGAUAAAAAUGAUUCCAAAAAUAAAACCAAAGAUGAGAGAAAACUGUUAAGGUCUCCAAGUAUGAAAGAUGACUCUUUAUGGAACAGCGCGCCCGCUACGUGCCUGAACUCGCCGGAUCCUAAAACUCUUCCUCAAGCUUCCACUAGUGAACCCACCAGUUCAGAAUAUAAGAAUAGCAUACGACAUUUCUUCCCAGACAGUGUGAAAGGCAUAGACAGUCCUUCUCAAAUAUUUUCAAAAUUGUCAGAGUGUGCUAAAGAAAUAUUUUCGUCAUCUAACAGCAUAGAUACAAACAAUGUGGCUAAAGAUGAUGUUUCUGUGUCGAGUAUUAACAAUUUAAAAAUAUCAGAAAGUGACAGUGAGGAAGUAGCAGGCAGCAUCGACGGGAGUACUUCUUGUCUGGAACUUUGUUUUACCGAAGACGAAAGCGUGCCUGAAGACAAAACUCAUUCCAUUUUAGAAAUAAGGGAAAAGGAAUUUUUGAAUUUACAACUAAAAUGUAAUCAUAUUGAGCAGACAAGCAAGGAAAAAAUACUGAAAUUAGAGAAAAUCAUACUGGAUUUAAGCAAAGAAAAUGACCGUCUUAAAGGUCAAUUAAGACAGUACAUGUCUGCUGUUGAAAUGGGGGCUGCGUUGAAAAACAACGGUGACGAGCAGGAAGCUGACCAAUAUGAGAAAAAACUUGUUCAAGUAGCAGAAAUGCACGCAGAGCUAAUGGAAUUCAAUCAACAUCUACAAAAGCGCUUACAAGAGUUGGAGAGCAGAUCAGAAUUGGAGGUGCUGGACCAUCCUGAAACUAACGUGAAGGCUUAUAUCCCCACCGCGUUUCUUGUCGGGAAGAAAACUCAAUCCUACCACGUCUAUCAGAUAUUCCUCAAAAUUGGUCACGAAGAAUGGAAUGUGUACCACCGAUAUGCCAAGUUCCACGAGCUCCAUAUGCAGCUGAAGAAAUUACAUCCAGACAUAGCGUCGUAUAAUUUUCCUCCUAAGAAAACACUCCGGAAACGGAACGCACACCUUGUGGAGAGCCGGCGGGUGGCGCUGCAGGCCUACCUGCGUCAUAUUCUGCUGGUUCAGCCCGAGUUGAGGGAGUGCACCAGUCGCGCGCAGCUUAUCUCCAUCUUACCGUUCUUUGGCACUUCAUCGUCAUCAAGAUCGAACGGAUCGAGUCACAUGCUAAAUCGCCAACAUUCCAACGAGUCAACUUCCACUUACGAUGCUUUCUGAUUGCCAAAUAAAUUGCUGCGACAACUAGUUAUUAAGCGAAACUGAAAUACAAGUUUAGGAAAAGGCGGUUAUCAUAAAUAUGAUCCAUGUCUCCAAUGAUGACCAAUCAACCCUUUGACCGCCGAAGAUGUCAACUGAUGCCGCAAGAAGUUAAAAUAUAUCUUAAACCAAUGGGUAUUGAAUCAGGCCCUGAUUCACAGGAUUUAAAUUAUUUAUAGGAUGUAUUUCAAGAAAUACUGUGAAUUUACAACCACACUGUAUAUUUUACAUAUCAAAUUGAUACAAAUAUGAGAUAGCAUUAAAGAAGAUCUCGGAUCAUUAUCAACCAUGCUUUCUAACUAUGUUUAGGUACCAUACCCGCGGCUUUCAAAGUUUUAUGAGUGUUGCUAAUGUUGCUAUUAUAUUAUAUCGACAGUGUUUCUACUUCGAAUAAAAUUAACGGCAUUUUAGUGUUGGGCAUUAUAUUGGUCUUCACAAAAUGUAUUGUGUAGUGGCCAUUUUUUUUUCAAAGUUGUCCACCCCACUUUUUUUGUAACAUGGGUAUUUUUUACGCGAUUAAUACUCAGAAUCGCGAGCUCUUUCGAUCCUGAUAGGGGAAAAACAUG
This 2721-nucleotide unclassified non-coding RNA is filed under the name Leguminivora glycinivorella. Its description in RNAcentral is "sorting nexin-29-like, transcript variant X2". Lineage: Eukaryota; Metazoa; Arthropoda; Insecta; Lepidoptera; Tortricidae. The record is from RNAcentral.